CCUACGGGAGGCAGCAGUGAGGAAUAUUGGUCAAUGGACGAGAGUCUGAACCAGCCAAGUAGCGUGAAGGAUGACUGCCCUCUGGGUUGUAAACUUCUUUUAUAUGGGAAUAAAAUGUUCCACGUGUGGGAUUUUGUAUGUACCAUAUGAAUAAGGAUCGGCUAACUCCGUGCCAGCAGCCGCGGUAAUACGGAGGAUCCGAUCGUUAUCCGGAUUUAUUGGGGUUAAAGGGAGCGUCGGUGGAUUGUUAAGUCAGUUGUGAAAGUUUGCGGCUCAACCGGAAAAUUGCAGUUGAAACUGGCAGUCUUGAGUACAGUAGAGGUGGGCGGAAUUCGUGGUGUAGCGGUGAAAUGCUUAGAGAUCACGAAGAACUCCGAUUGCGAAGGCAGUUCACUGGACUGCAACUGACACUGAGGCUCGAAAGUGUGGGUAUCAAACAGGAUUAGAUACCCCAGUAGUC
RNAcentral lists this ribosomal RNA (460 nucleotides) under uncultured bacterium. RNAcentral's name for it is "partial 16S ribosomal RNA". It matches the Rfam family "Bacterial small subunit ribosomal RNA", at positions 338 to 795 of the family's 1533-position model. The record is from RNAcentral.